UACGUAGGGAGCAAGCGUUGUCCGGAAUCAUUGGGCGUAAAGCGCGCGUAGGUGGCUUCGUAAGUCCGUUGUGAAAGUCAAAGGCUCAACCUUUGAAUGCCGAUGGAUACUGCGGAGCUAGAGUACGGAAGAGGCGAGUGGAAUUCCUGGUGUAGCGGUGGAAUGCGCAGAUAUCAGGAGGAACACCAAUGGCGAAGGCAGAUCUCUGGGCCGUAACUGACGCUGAGGAGCGAAAGCAUGGGGAGCGAACAGG
RNAcentral lists this ribosomal RNA (253 nucleotides) under uncultured bacterium. Its description in RNAcentral is "partial 16S ribosomal RNA". It matches the Rfam family "Bacterial small subunit ribosomal RNA", at positions 524 to 776 of the family's 1533-position model. The record is from RNAcentral.